CAGCCGCCACGGGAAUACGAAGGGGGCUAGCGUUGUUCGGAUUUACUGGGCGUAAAGCGCACGUAGGCGGACUUUUAAGUCAGGGGUGAAAUCCCGGGGCUCAACCCCGGAACUGCCUUUAAUACUGGAAGUCUUGAGUAUGGUAGAGGUGAGUGGAAUUCCGAGUGUAGAGGUGAAAUUCGUAGAUAUUCGGAGGAACACCGGUGGCGAAGGCGGCUCACUGGACCAUUACUGACGCUGAGGUGCGAAAGCGUGGGGAGCAAACAGGAUUAGAUACCCCUGUAGUCCCUGUCUCUUAUAC
This 301-nucleotide ribosomal RNA is filed under the name uncultured bacterium. RNAcentral's name for it is "partial 16S ribosomal RNA". It matches the Rfam family "Bacterial small subunit ribosomal RNA", at positions 509 to 807 of the family's 1533-position model. The record is from RNAcentral.